GUUCAGGAAUUGUUAAAUUUAGAUAUAGGACCCACAGGGAAGCCGGCGACCGAAGCCCCGGUGAACGGCGGCCGUAACUAUAACGGUCCUAAGGUAGCGAAAUUCCUUGUCGGGUAAGUUCCGACCCGCACGAAA
Molecule: non-coding RNA, 135 nt
Filed under: Brachypodium distachyon (stiff brome)
Lineage: Eukaryota; Viridiplantae; Streptophyta; Magnoliopsida; Poales; Poaceae
Description: Bacterial large subunit ribosomal RNA
Rfam family: Bacterial large subunit ribosomal RNA
Source: Rfam by way of RNAcentral